CGUGAGGGAUGACGGCCUUCGGGUUGUAAACCUCUUUCACCAGGGACGAAGCGCAAGUGACGGUACCUGGAGAAGAAGCACCGGCCAACUACGUGCCAGCAGCCGCGGUAAUACGUAGGGUGCGAGCGUUGUCCGGAAUUACUGGGCGUAAAGAGCUCGUAGGUGGUUUGUCGCGUUGUUCGUGAAAACUCACAACUCAAUUGUGGGCGUGCGGGCGAUACGGGCAGACUAGAGUACUGCAGGGGAGACUGGAAUUCCUGGUGUAGCGGUGGAAUGCGCAGAUAUCAGGAGGAACACCGGUGGCGAAGGCGGGUCUCUGGGCAGUAACUGACGCUGAGGAGCGAAAGCGUGGGGAGCGAACAGGAUUAGAUACCCUGGUAGUCCACGCCGUAAACGGUGGGUACUAGGUGUGGGUUCCUUCCUUGGGAUCCGUGCCGUAGCUAACGCAUUAAGUACCCCGCCUGGGGAGUACGGCCGCAAGGCUAAAAACCAAAGGAAUUGACGG
Molecule: ribosomal RNA, 505 nt
Filed under: Mycolicibacterium aubagnense
Lineage: Bacteria; Bacillati; Actinomycetota; Actinomycetes; Mycobacteriales; Mycobacteriaceae
Description: bacterial SSU rRNA
Rfam family: Bacterial small subunit ribosomal RNA
Source: RNAcentral